GUGGGGAAUAUUCCGCAAUGGACGAAAGUCUGACGGAGCAACGCCGCGUGAGUGAAGAAGGUUUUCGGAUCGUAAAGCUCUUUCGUUAGGGACGAACGUGCUCUUUGUGAAUAAUGAGGAGUAAUGACGGUACCUAAAUAAGAAGCCACGGCUAACUACGUGCCAGCAGCCGCGGUAAUACGUAGGUGGCAAGCGUUGUCCGGAAUUAUUGGGCGUAAAGCGCGCGCAGGCGGGAUAUCAAGUCUGUCUUAAAAGUGCGAGGCUCAACCUCGUGAGGGGACAGAAACUGGUAUUGUUGAGUGUCGGAGAGGAAAGUGGAAUUCCAAGUGUAGCGGUGAAAUGCGUAGAGAUUUGGAAGAACACCAGUGGCGAAGGCGACUUUCUGGACGAUGUCUGACGCUGAGGCGCGAAAGCUAGGGGAGCGAACGGGAUUAGAAACCCCGGUAGUCC
Molecule: ribosomal RNA, 450 nt
Filed under: uncultured bacterium
Lineage: Bacteria
Description: partial 16S ribosomal RNA
Rfam family: Bacterial small subunit ribosomal RNA
Source: RNAcentral